CCUGCAGAAAUAAUAAAAUAAGGAGUGUGGAAGGGGAGAAGACCAGUGCCGUGCUCAUCUUCUACUUGUCGCCGCAGUAGGCCGGCGAUUGCGGAUGCCCGAUGCCGCCGCCCAUCUCCACCCCUUCCACCGCUCCCCAUCCAACCGGCGGUCUCCGCUCCUCCCCGCCGCAGCAGGCCGGCGGGUGCUGCCCCUGCCCGCCAGGCCUCCUUGCCGGAUCCGAGGUGGCCCAGCCCGGAUCCAAUCAGGUGGGGUCCCGCCGUCACCAUCGCCGCCGUCGCUUGCCCCGAGACGACAUGCCUCGCUCGUCCCUCAUCCCGCGUCUAGGAGCGAGGGGAGGGGCCUCGGGACGUCCCGCCGGAGGAUGGCGGCGGCGGUCGCGGUGGACGCCGCGGGCAGCUGCGCUACCUGCAGGUGGGUCUUGACCACCACGGCCGGUUGGCACGAGCUACGACGAGCUUCACUGCUGUGGCGGCGUUGAUUUCCCAAAGCAAGGGGCAGUGCGGCAGGGGCAUGUUGCAGCUUGCAAGAAGCCAGCAUCCGCAUCCCAGAUGCUCGCUAGGGCGUGGGCGCGCUGGUCCACUGGAGCAACGCGCGCUCCGCGACGGCGUGCCAUUCCUCCGCGUGUGUCUUGCGCUAUCUUGCGCGACGGCAAGGCCGAGCACAGGCUUCCUGACGGUGACAAGAGAUAAGUGAACAUAGUAGCAGCCAGCGACCAUCCGUCAACACUCAGCAAUACGCUCCUGUAUUUCUCUUGUACGUUUUAUAGCUCUCUACCCACAAGCCCAACUGAAGUUAUAGACCAUCAAUGCACUAUUGUGCAGAGUCAAUCUUUGAUUCCGUUCUUGAUUUUGUUCAGUUGAUUUAUGGUUGCCAAAUUCAUCUGUCAACGUCUCAAAAAUUUCGUUGGUGAACAAAUACUUAGAUUAAUUGUUAGAUGCAAAAAAACAGGUGCAUCCUGUUUGGAUGAUCAAAUUUCAUGAUGUUUUAUUUGCACAAAAUCUGUGCAUCCUUCUA
Panicum virgatum (switchgrass) is the source of this 1017-nucleotide long non-coding RNA. RefSeq lists it as uncharacterized. NCBI's taxonomy places the organism in Eukaryota, Viridiplantae, Streptophyta, Magnoliopsida, Poales, Poaceae. The record is from RefSeq and is a predicted model, not a curated record. The transcript has 2 exons.